GCGGGAGGGGAGGAGUCCCUCAGCCCGGAUUGCGAGAGGGUGCAGGCCAGGUCGAGGAACCCCACCAAUGAACG
This 74-nucleotide microRNA precursor is filed under the name Myotis lucifugus (little brown bat). Its description in RNAcentral is "mir-9193 microRNA precursor family". It matches the Rfam family "mir-9193 microRNA precursor family". The record is from Rfam by way of RNAcentral. Lineage: Eukaryota; Metazoa; Chordata; Mammalia; Chiroptera; Vespertilionidae.